RNA transcript from Helianthus annuus (common sunflower), 1444 nucleotides. RefSeq lists it as uncharacterized. The record is from RefSeq and is a predicted model, not a curated record. The transcript has 6 exons. NCBI's taxonomy places the organism in Eukaryota, Viridiplantae, Streptophyta, Magnoliopsida, Asterales, Asteraceae.
GAAAGAUAAUCAGAGGGAGAGAGAAAACACAAAUCAAAGAUGGAUCUGUACUCACUGCACCUUUCCUUUUCGUUCUCUUUCUCUCAAAGGUUUAGAUUUUAGAUCUGGAUCUUGAUCUAUUCACCAUAAGCUAUUGUUCCUGAGGAUCUGGACACCUUCCCUAAGAUGUUGAAGAUGGAUCCCUAGCCGUCGCAUCUGGUGAAGACGGUGGUUUUCCCUAAGAUGGUUGAAGAUGGAGUCCCAAGCCCUAACAAUGUCACAAUCGGAGCUCAUUGAUCAUGCCGAUAUGGACUUUUUAUUGCCUCCUCAAGCUGCUGGAGUUGUCAGACAUAUGAGCGAUAUUCCUCGUUUACAUGUAUUUUCGAGGCAGCGGGAAAACUGCAGUGGUAACUUUCGAGUUGUUUUGGAAGAGUAUUGAAUGAUGCAUUUGUUAUUUUAGGGUCACUGGAUAGCGACGCUUGAAUCUACGGAUUUUUUUACGACAUAACAGGCUUGAUAUUUACAUGUGAAGUCAGGCAAAAUGAUCAAAUGUGUAAAGAAGAAAGUGCCACUCCUGAGACUAACCCUGUCAACAUAGAAGUUAUCGGAGGCUUAACAUCGUACACUGCUGGUUCUCCUGCUUCUAAGCUUGCUGUCAUUUUGAUUUCUGAUAUAUAUGGACGUACAGUGGGACUAAAGAAUUGGGUGAGGAUAACUUUUGCCGCAGAACCAUCUUCACUUGAAGAAGCACUUGAAAGAGUAAAGUCCUUUUCCUAUAGGCAUUCUUAUAAACAAAAUGGUUCAGUUGAUCCAUGAUUGAAGAAGUAGGCACUUUACCCACAUGUAAAAGUUACCUGAUUAACAACUUAACAACUGAAUAUGUUAUCGUUUUUUUAAUAUUUGACAACCGGAAGACAACCAUGCCGUCUUGAAGCCUUUCUGUCGUUACGCCAGGAGAUUCAAAUGAACCAAUUGAAGAAAGGAUUAUAAGAAUGUGGACAUCACAGAUAUAGAACAACGAUUGUUGCUAUCUUUUUGUAGACUUGGCUGGUAUGUGCAGAUCCUUCAGCAACGUUCUGGUUUCAUAGACAUUGACAAUAUCAAUCCAGAUGCUUGGCCUGCACUCAUAGCAGAUUUAUCAAUAGGCGAAAAUGGAAUCGUAAGCCUUGCAUUUGGUGAGUAUAAGUUAUGAUCGGGUCCAUUUGGUUGUGUUUUGUCGCAAACGGUUGUGUUUUAUCGCAAAUGAGAGGUGGUAGAGAUGACCAAGAACAAAAGCAGACACAUGAUCUUCUAAGCAUAUGAAAACAAGAGUGUUUGACCUGAAAGUUGUAUGAAUUGGGGGGUUAGUUUUAAGUUUCUUUUUUACUUUUUAAUGUUGAAGUAUCUAACAAUUAAGGUUGUUUUGGUAUGUAAUAUGUGCAUGGUAUGAUUGGUUUUUUUUGGGAGAUUUAAGGUUAUUGUAACU